UGAGUGACUGAUAAUGAGAUGCUAAUGGUUCCAAACAGCACCGCGGACAGCUCCCGGCGUGGCUCCGCCCCCUUUCCCACAGGCUGCGUGUUGCCGCCACUGCCUCACUUCAGCUGCGGACACAACAGAGGCAGCUUCAAAGAGCUUGUGGACGGACAGAGGCGAGGAGCACUGUGAUGUUGUGUAGCUGGGCUGUGCCGGCUGAGCAACACUUUAAUGGAGUAAUACCCGCUGCUGCGUAAAACAGCUCAUUGGGUUCGGAAGAAAAAGAGAGCGCGUACUCUGCGAAGACUGAAAAAUGCCAUUCUAGCGCGAGCGCAGACGGGUUCUCUUCAUAGAAAUUCAAGUUUGGAGCCAUUUUUUCCUUCCCUUUUCAUUCUGUUUUGGACCUUGAGCAACUUUUGUUUCCGUCGUGUUUAGACCUGCUGUCCAUUUGUCUCGCAUACUUGGAGCCUGAAAAGCUGUGGAGAUGGAGAGCGAGAAGUACCUGCCGGAGCUUCUGUCGGAGAAGAACACGCUGGACCCGUCUUUUCAGCACUCCCUGCGACUGCUGGAGCUAGAGAUUGACAAAAUCCAGAGAGAUGACGGGAAGGAGGAGGAGAAGUUCAUCGACGUCGUCAUCAACAAGAACAUGAAACUGGGCCAGAAAGUUUUAAUACCAGUCAAGCAGUUUCCUAAAUUUAACUUUGUCGGCAAACUCCUCGGGCCACGCGGGAACUCGUUAAAGAGACUACAAGAGGACACCCUCACAAAGAUGUCGAUUCUUGGAAAAGGAUCCAUGAGAGACAAAGAGAAGGAAGAAGAGCUACGGCAGAGUGGCGAGGCCAAAUAUAAUCAUCUGAACGAAGACUUGCACGUCCUCAUCGAGGUGUUCGCCCCACCAGCUGAGGCCUAUGCCAGAAUGGGUCACGCUCUAGAAGAGAUCAAGAAGUUUCUCAUUCCAGAUUACAACGAUGAGAUCAGACAAGCCCAGCUGCAAGAGCUCACAUACCUGAACGGUGGCUCCGAGGAUGCCAAGGUGCCAUCCGUUAGGGGCAAGUCAACCACACGUGGCAGGGGCACACCUGUUCCAGGGCCUCCAAGGAGCCGUGGAGGAGUUCCAUCCCUGCAUGCAGCAGUGCCCCGAGGAGCAGCACCCCGAGGAGCCCUGCCGAGCCGGGCCCCAACCUCCAGAGGGAGAGGAGUCCAGAGAGCCAGAGGCACCCCACCAGCUGCCACCUACAGGGCAGCUCCACCCAUAGUGCAGGACACAUACGGUGAAUACGAUUAUGAUGACGGUUAUGGAACCACUUACGAUGAUCAGGGAUAUGAGUCUUAUGACAACAGCUACAGCAAUCAAGGACAAAACUCAGAUGACUACUAUGAAUACGGACACAGCGGGGAGUCGUAUGAUUCGUAUGGUCAGGAAGAGUGGGCAAACAGUCGCAGCAAGGCUCCGUCAGCACGGACAACCAAGGGAGCGUACAGGGAUCAGCCAUACUCGAGAUAUUGAACUGUUUAUACAAGCCGCACCCGAGUCCUCAUGGCAGUUUCAACUCAAGGUGAGGUCCCAGCUGAACACCACUGUCUGUCCAAACAUGUUGCUGCUGUUCAAGGAUUAAAGAACAACAGACAAGUCUCUCUCCAAACAUUAAAACCAGAACAUUGCCUUAUUGAAUCCUCAUGGAAAAACGCCCUCCCACUUCACAGAUUGACAAAAGUUUUGUUUUUCCAAUGUUUACAAUGUGGACUGGGGUCUUUUCUGCAGGCCAGGGAAAGAAUGAAAAGUGACUGAUUGGAGAUGUAGAAAACAGGGGGAAAUUACAUUAGUAUCACACUUUAUUAUUCUCCAGAGGAAAGAGGGAGGAGCGAAAACCCGUGAAUGGACUUCAGCAUCCACUAGGAGUUGAAAAGUAAAAUUUUUUUGGAGGAUCAUUGACUGUAUAACUUCGUACACACAGGACUGUUCUGAAACAGCUGUGAACCUUAACUGUCUCUUCUGAUUGUGGCUGUUGGUAGAGAGGAUGUGUGAACAUCUUGUAUUAGACAUUAACUAUUGCCUGCUUGGAAGGAUAAGGUAAUAAAUAAUGCAGCAUGCCAAGACGGGACAUCAUAAUUAUGGCAAACAGAUUUUGUUCUCGCAUUGUUCUGCUCAAUAAUCGCAAUCUAGUGCGCCCUUAUGAAUUAAUAAUUAACAAAGUGCCUUACUGUUACAUUGUUGUGACAGUUUUAGAUCUUCAGUCCCAGAUUUAAAGUUAAAAUAUGGGUGCAAGACUAGUUAGCUGUUUUCUUUCCUUCUCUUUUUUUGUGGGUUUUUUGCGGGUCACCACGAUGCUAGAGAAUCCCUCAUCUACUUGCAGAAGACAACAGCCUGUUCCAGAUGUAUUGCUUAAUCACAGUCGACUUCGGUGGAUAUUACAAUUCCGAAAUAGCUUUCUUGCAGAUAGAGAGCUCCAUUUGGCCUCGUGCAUAAGUCCAGAGAGACUCAUCCGUAUUCUACACAUUUUCAGAGGCAGACAAUAGUUUUCCAUUAGAGGAAGUGAUUCUCCACGGAGCCUCGGGCCCAGCCUCAGACAAUAACACAGCAACCUAAAGCUCACAACUCAGGCUCCCGAAGUCAACUCUCGUCACCUCUAGGGGCGGAUCGCCACUAUGAAGUGGCUUAAAGACAAAGACUUAUCUGACACUUGUCCAAGUUAAUAGAGUAAGAGUGGCUUAUUUGAUUAAGGAUGCAUACAAAGGAGGAUGUAGGGAUCUGUGGAUAGGAGACAAAUCAAUUUGAGCUCUUGAAUACAAAUCAGUGUGUCUCUAACACACCAUACAACUGCUUUGCUCAACAGCGAAAUUAGACCAGCACUGAGGAACCUUUGGUUAAAAUCUUACAUUGCACUUUGCAAAAUGCACAGCAAUUCAGAUAUAUUUUCAAAAGUCACUCUGUUGUGAGGGUGUUUGCUUGUAUGUUUAGGAUUGUCGGUCAAAUAUGAAACCAUCACCAUGUCCCACUUCCAAAUUCUGUGCAUGCUAUUUUUCCAUGUUCAGCUAGCGAACAGAUUUAUUGAGGAGAAUCCAGCAGCAAGGGCCAUCUUCAGGUUGAAUAACAGGUGCAAAGCUAACAAUUAAUGUGACUCUAUUCAACAGGUAUAUAAUCUCCCUGUUUCUUGGUAACGUAAAGUUCCUCUACUGGGUCGACAUCUCAGCACAUGGCACCUGAAAAACCCACUGUAAUUAAUCCCCAAAUGGGCUGACAUGCUGUCUGCAAACUUUGUCAAUGAUGUUUCCAUUUCCAAAGAGGGCUGGUUCAACUAUUUUUGAGCAGUUUUGAGCAGUACACCUUCUAUUCUAGAGCUAUAAAUACCAUACAGACAACUGGUAUCAAACCUGCUUAUUAAAUCAGCAAAGUUCUCCCUGGUGAGCGACUCCUUACUAUCCGAAUUUUCUUAAUUUAAAAUCAAGUAUUUAUGUUUAAAGCCAAUUAUUUUAUUGAUGAGUUUCAAUACUUUUUUUGAAUGUUGAACAGGUUUAUUAUGGAAUGUGUUAUUUUAAGGUGCUAUUUUCAAGUUUGUUGACCCAUGAAAAAUAAAUAUUGUGUUGUAUUAGCCUCGGAGGCCCAAACUCAUAUGAGCAUGACACCAUACUCCAAUGAAAUCCGUUCCAGUUGUGCUCAAUAGCCAAACUCACUGCUAUAAGCAAUAGAAAAUUACACUUUUUUUUUUAUGUUUUAAACACCGGUUCAUAGAAAACGUUGUACAACACUAUAGGUGUAAAUGAUGUACUUAGAUACAGUCAGGAAUACAAAUAAACAGUUUAUUUCUGCACGUCCAGCUACAGUAUGUAUUAUACGCAUGGAAGCCACAUUUGAUUUAUGAUUGGAUGUUCAAGUCUAUUUUUCUGACAUAGAAAUCUAAAAUCUAAAAAGUGUAUAUUAAAUUCCCCAUAAUAGUGGCAAUAAUUAAUUUUUUUGUAAUAGUACAGAACCAUGUCAGGAGACGUAACAUGGAUGCUCUUCCGGGAUAACACCCCGCAAAGGUAAUACAUUUAAUGAAAUAUUCAUAUAAUUACAAAUAUGUAUAGUUGUCCAGGAAAAGAAGAAAGAAAAACACUACUGUAUUAUAAUUCAAUGAGUUUUACAUUUUUCUUUUUAUUAAGUUCUAAAGAAGACACCUGCUCUUUGGACCACAAUAAACUAGAAGGCUCUUAAUUAGAUUGAGUUUUAAACAUGGGGAUAUAUUAUGAGGUGUUCCUUUGAAAGUGAGCUCUAAUGUGACCAUGGGUCAGCAUGUGCUGCCUCCUAAGUGGCUGCUGAGAUUGAGAGGGAUCGAUCACUACAGGGCCUCUAGUCAAGAGGGCUGAUCGAUAGCAGCAACACAGACGAUGGAUAUCUGUUCAGCUCACAUUUUAUCCAAAGAGCGAUUCCUGAUAUUCUGGGAAAUCCAUUUUUUUUCAAAGCUCAGAACAAGUCUAUCAAAUAAAUGGAAAAAGAUGAAUGUACAUAUAUCUGAACAGAGAAGUUAUUACAGUAUCACUGUGUAUGCCGAGUCUAUAAUUAAUUCUGUCUGUACAUUAUAUAUCUCAGAACAAUUCAUAUAAUGUGCUGUCAAGCUAUAAAAAUAUAUUUUGCUUGUUUAUGUAUUUACAAGUAAGGAAGUUUUCAUUCCUGUUGAUUAAGAAAGUAAUAUUCUUCUGUAUUAUGCACAGAUAACAGUGUGUCAUGUUGGGAAACAAAUAAUAAAAGCACUUGCUAUGUAUUGAA
RNA transcript from Girardinichthys multiradiatus, 4729 nucleotides. It is a transcript of the gene named KH domain containing, RNA binding, signal transduction associated 3, with no coding region annotated. The transcript is spliced from 11 exons. NCBI's taxonomy places the organism in Eukaryota, Metazoa, Chordata, Actinopteri, Cyprinodontiformes, Goodeidae. The record is from RefSeq and is a predicted model, not a curated record.